AUUUGGGCCACGCCUCUUUAUUUCAAAUACAAUUUACAGCACAGACAUAGAAUCAACCCAAAUUCAAUACCAAUAUAUUCUCUUUUUGACCACUUUCAAUCCAAGAAUACAUUUCAAGUAAACAUAGAAUAAUAUUCCAAGGAUUUGUACAUAUAUCCUAGCAUUUGAAUAAUAAGUUCACCAAGCAAAUAUGCACCAAAUUCUCACCAAGAUCAACAAUACAUCCAAAUUCCCAGAAAAUACGGCAUUACAACAAACAUAUAAAGCAAGUCGUUGACUUGGACUUCCAGCUUCUUCAAAAAAAUCAGCACAUAACUCUCCUGCAGAUGAGAAGAAAAGCCACAUGUUCAGUCUCGAUAUGGGUAAUAUAUGCUAAAAAUAAAUCCAAGAACCGUGCAAGAGCCUAGGUUUUACUAUCAUUUGGACACCCAGAUAGGCGAUCCUUCCUUACCUAAUGUGUGCAAGUCCAAAUAAAUUAAUGAACAAUCCAUUUUAUAGAGCAAAUGAUAUGCCCCCCUUUUAUCUAAAAAUGUACUGUAUGCUAGUGACAGAACAAGGGGUAAGACUGUUAUGAUAUGCCAGAUUGCCAACAACAGUGCUUACAUGCAUCUUCAUAUUUCGAAAGGUAACAUGCAUCACAUCAAAAAAUUGUAAGCAUUGAACCUACAUCAUAUCUACAGUAACAUCACCAAUCAGGUUGCAUGUGUAUGCUAGAAAUCAAGAAUCAAAAGGACUUCAGCUUGUUUCGAAUAUCUUGCCUUUGUUGCUCCCAGUUCAAUAAAGAAAUAGUCGAGCAGUGAGCGCUUCGCCUCAUGGACUUGGCAGUGCACAAUAGAUUUCGGAAUGGAGCAUAAAUAGAAUACCUGGAAAAGAACAAUAAAGAGCUAUACAGUUAAGUAAGCAUCCUUGGCUGUACAAAUAAGUGGAGGGAACAAGAAAGCUACACAGUCUAGAAUUUCUGUUGAGAAACAGUAACUUGAUGUAAAGUCGCUUGAAAAUAGAAAACACCUUACAAGCUUGUGAAGCUUACCAUGAUUUCAAAAGCAUGGGUUAUGUAAUCUUUUAUGCCAUCCUCCCAAAAUUUGGCUGGAUGAUUUUGCAACUGUAGUUGUACCCAGCGGCUCAAAAUAUAAACAUAUAGAUGAGUUCUUCUCACAUGUCACCAGAGGCAAAUAGCAAUACACAUAAAUGAAUGAAUAGGGGCAUAUUCUACAGCAAGAUGAACCGGCAGAGAUAUAUCUUGUAGCCUACAACAAUCAUGUUAGAAACCACAAAGAUACAAUUACAAGGCUCGCACCGAAACAAAAAAUUUGUGUAGUGGCUUCAAGUAAAUUAGUGGACAAAAAUUUCAGACUGAAUAUGAAGCAUUCUCCAUGGACAGAAAUUUCAGGCUUUCUUAACAUUUCCAUUAACAACAAAUUGAUACACCAGACAAUGCUAUCAGGUAUCACAACAGCAUAGACACACAACAUAAACAAGGGUAUAUAACCACACACACGGCAAAUACACAUUAGAAUGAGGCGAAACUAGAAUGUUCCGACUUAUAAUCCACAUACAUAGACACUUACUGGAAUCUGCAAAUGCUUAGACUAGAAUGAGAACAAAAGAAAACAGAACCUAUCUAUGCAGCAGAGAGAGAGAGAUAGCAGGGGAGGAGGACCUAUGGACCAACUUGCCCUUUACCAAAUAGCUCAAGGGGAGCACAGCAGCAGCAGUAGAUUGGCCCUGCUUGUUCCCCUUCACACAACUAGAUUAGAAUAAC
This 1762-nucleotide long non-coding RNA is filed under the name Triticum aestivum (bread wheat). RNAcentral describes it as "long non-coding RNA (TAES_LNC024180)". The record is from RNAcentral. Lineage: Eukaryota; Viridiplantae; Streptophyta; Magnoliopsida; Poales; Poaceae.